GACAGAGGGUGCAAACGUUGUUCGGAAUUACUGGGCGUAAAGCGCGUGUAGGCGGCUUGGCAAGUCGGGUGUGAAAGCCCUGGGCUCAACCUAGGAAGUGCACUCGAAACUGCCUCGCUUGAGUGUCGGAGAGGAAAGCGGAAUUCUCGGUGUAGAGGUGAAAUUCGUAGAUAUCGAGAGGAACACCGGUGGCGAAGGCGGCUUUCUGGACGAUAACUGACGCUGAGACGCGAAAGCGUGGGGAGCAAACAGG
This 253-nucleotide ribosomal RNA is filed under the name uncultured bacterium. Its description in RNAcentral is "partial 16S ribosomal RNA". It matches the Rfam family "Bacterial small subunit ribosomal RNA", at positions 524 to 776 of the family's 1533-position model. The record is from RNAcentral.